GACGUAGGGCGCGAGCGUUGUCCGGAUUUAUUGGGCGUAAAGAGCUCGUAGGCGGCUUGUCGCGUCGUCCGUGAAAACCUGCGGCUCAACUGCAGGCUGGCGGUCGAUACGGGCAGGCUGGAGUUCGGUAGGGGAGACUGGAAUUCCUGGUGUAGCGGUGAAAUGCGCAGAUAUCAGGAGGAACACCAAUAGCGAAGGCAGCUCGCUGGGACGGUACUGACGCUAAGGCGCGAAAGCGUGGGGAGCGAACAGG
RNAcentral lists this ribosomal RNA (253 nucleotides) under uncultured bacterium. Its description in RNAcentral is "partial 16S ribosomal RNA". It matches the Rfam family "Bacterial small subunit ribosomal RNA", at positions 524 to 776 of the family's 1533-position model. The record is from RNAcentral.